AUUGAACGCUGGCGGCAGGCUUAACACAUGCAAGUCGAGCGGGGAAGGGUGGCUUGCUACCUGACCUAGCGGCGGACGGGUGAGUAAUGCUUAGGAAUCUGCCUAUUAGUGGGGGACAACAUUCCGAAAGGAAUGCUAAUACCGCAUACGCCCUACGGGGGAAAGCAGGGGAUCUUCGGACCUUGCGCUAAUAGAUGAGCCUAAGUCAGAUUAGCUAGUUGGUGGGGUAAAGGCCUACCAAGGCGACGAUCUGUAGCGGGUCUGAGAGGAUGAUCCGCCACACUGGGACUGAGACACGGCCCAGACUCCUACGGGAGGCAGCAGUGGGGAAUAUUGGACAAUGGGCGAAAGCCUGAUCCAGCCAUGCCGCGUGUGAAGAAGGCCUUUUGGUUGUAAAGCACUUUAAGCGAGGAGGAGGCUGCCGAGAUUAAUACUCUUGGAUAGUGGACGUUACUCGCAGAAUAAGCACCGGCUAACUCUGUGCCAGCAGCCGCGGUAAUACAGAGGGUGCGAGCGUUAAUCGGAUUUACUGGGCGUAAAGCGUGCGUAGGCGGCUUUUUAAGUCGGAUGUGAAAUCCCUGAGCUUAACUUAGGAAUUGCAUUCGAUACUGGGAAGCUAGAG
Molecule: ribosomal RNA, 622 nt
Filed under: uncultured bacterium
Lineage: Bacteria
Description: bacterial SSU rRNA
Rfam family: Bacterial small subunit ribosomal RNA
Source: RNAcentral